RNAcentral lists this ribosomal RNA (159 nucleotides) under Pythium sp. F-1545.7. Its description in RNAcentral is "5.8S ribosomal RNA". It matches the Rfam family "5.8S ribosomal RNA". Rfam says of the family: 5.8S ribosomal RNA (5.8S rRNA) is a component of the large subunit of the eukaryotic ribosome. It is transcribed by RNA polymerase I as part of the 45S precursor that also contains 18S and 28S rRNA. The record is from RNAcentral. Lineage: Eukaryota; Oomycota; Peronosporomycetes; Pythiales; Pythiaceae.
CAACUCUCAGCAGAGGAUGUCUAGGCUCUCACAUCGAUGAAGAACGCUGCGAACUCCGAUACGUAAUGCGAAUUGCAGAAUUCACUGAGUCAUCGAAAUUUUGAGCGCAUAUUGCACUUCCGGGGUAUGCCUGGAAGUAUAUCUGUAUCAGUGUCCCUA